This 100-nucleotide small nucleolar RNA is filed under the name Oryza sativa (Asian cultivated rice). Its description in RNAcentral is "box C/D snoRNA J3.7". The stretch from base 22 to 98 matches the Rfam family "Small nucleolar RNA R24". From Rfam's summary of the family: snoR24 is a C/D box small nucleolar RNA which acts as a methylation guide for 18S ribosomal RNA in plants. Lineage: Eukaryota; Viridiplantae; Streptophyta; Magnoliopsida; Poales; Poaceae. The record is from RNAcentral.
GUUACAUUGCUAAUUCUAACUGCUGCUGUGAUAAGAAGGCCAACCGAUCAAUUGGUUCUUUGAUGAAAUACUCUUGUUACACUUGGCUUCUGAGCGUCUU